AUUGAACGCUGGCGGCAUGCCUUACACAUGCAAGUCGAACGGCAGCACGGGGGCAACCCUGGUGCGAGUGGCGAACGGGUGAGUAAUGCAUCGGAACGUGUCCCGUAGCGGGGGAUAACCAGUCGAAAGACUGGCUAAUACCGCAUACGCUCCACGGAGGAAAGCAGGGGAUCGCAAGACCUUGCACUAUGGGAGCGGCCGAUGCCCGAUUAGCUAGUUGGGAGGUAAAGGCUCACCAAGGCGACGAUCGGUAGCUGGUUUGAGAGAACGACCAGCCACACUGGGACUGAGACACGGCCCAGACUCC
This 307-nucleotide ribosomal RNA is filed under the name uncultured bacterium. Its description in RNAcentral is "bacterial SSU rRNA". It matches the Rfam family "Bacterial small subunit ribosomal RNA", at positions 30 to 339 of the family's 1533-position model. The record is from RNAcentral.